GCUUUUACAAUGGAAGGGAAGGCAGCUUGCCAGCUUGACAGCUUGACAUUUGCUUAAGUGUCUCUCGUCUGUCAGUGAUUCCAGAUUGUUGACGAAAUAUCGUCUUCUGCUACUUCUAAGUUUCGAUGGCCAUUGAUAAUUGGAGAGCAGCAUUGGAAUGCAACAGCUUUGUCUGGGCUAAAUGCCCUACUAGAUAGAAUCCUCUCGGGAAACUUCGUCUGCUCCUAAGUUUUACACAAUACACAUCACAAGUUACUUCCUAAAAUCAAAACUAAUUUAGAUGAGGAUUUUGAGGUAAGUUGAACCGUUUAUAAUAAAAAACAUUUAUUAGCUAUAUAUCAUUCUUAUUGCAUUCUUGACUUUGUGUUUUCAGAAUUUUAGCAGAUGUUUUUGUGUGACCUAGGUGCUUGUGAGUUGUGACAGUAGAGAUCAAAUCAUUCAAAUGGGUCAAUCCAAUAAUGUAAGCUAUGUCUUCCAAAGCUAAAUAGUUUCUACUGUCAUUUAAUGUUUAUAAUAAUAUGUCAGGUUAACUUCCCCUCUCAAAUCAUACUAAAUCUUUAAAUAUUGAUCCCUUCCCCAGAUCCAAUUCUUUGCUGCUAUCCUUUAAAGACAACAGCAAAAUAAUGCUCCCCACUCAAGAGGUUGUGGUGACCUCCACUAAGUUCUAAUUUAGGACAUUGAUAGAUUUGAGGUAUUAUUGCUUGCUGUUGCUACAACAUGGUUUGAAAAUUAUAUCUAAAUAUUCUCUCCUUUCAGGUUAAUCCAAUCAUCCCUCACCACUCUACAGUUGUUUGGAAACUGACAGGAGAUUGCUGGAAUCGAAGACUGUUAAUUUGUGUAAAUGUAGAUAAAUUACAUCUGGGAUUCUUUUCUGUGGUUCCCGUUUCCCUAACUAACGACUAACCAACACCCGCCGGUGGUCACUCACCCGCUGUGACAAUCAGGAGGAUGAGGAGGGUUGUGGUCGAACGGUGACUUUGAAGGCUCAUGAUCUGAGGAAGACUUUUGGAGGGUCUAAUAACUUGGAAACCUAUUAUGACUAAUCGCUCCCUAGUAAAACUGGCCUCGCACUCAUCUCUCUUCUUCCUUGUCCUUGUCGGACUAAUAGCUGGAAAAGGAAAACCAAGAAACUGUCUAGCAACAUCUCUAGUAUCUCUCCAUACCCAUGGUCAAGUCAAGACAUUCAUGACAAUCACUUAAAAAGACUUGUUGUAAUCAAUGACGUUUCUAGUACAUUUAAACCAAAUUGCAAGCAAUGAAAACCUGUUUAAUUGAUGGUUAGAACAUUAGAAAUCAUGGAAACGGUGUAAGGAAAAUCAUACUGCAAAUCGUCUGUCAAACUCGGUCAAGCUAACCAAUCUGCCAAACUACGCAAUAAAAGUAAAACUGAAUUUAAAUGAAUGCAAUGAAAGGUUCCGAAUAAGUAUUACUAAUCUUGUACUUCGUUGUUCCUAACGAGAGAAAGGUUUAGGGUGAGGAUUGAUAGUU
Long non-coding RNA from Daphnia pulex (common water flea), 1488 nucleotides. RefSeq lists it as uncharacterized. The record is from RefSeq and is a predicted model, not a curated record. The transcript is spliced from 2 exons. Lineage: Eukaryota; Metazoa; Arthropoda; Branchiopoda; Diplostraca; Daphniidae.